RNAcentral lists this ribosomal RNA (467 nucleotides) under uncultured bacterium. Its description in RNAcentral is "partial 16S ribosomal RNA". It matches the Rfam family "Bacterial small subunit ribosomal RNA", at positions 28 to 507 of the family's 1533-position model. The record is from RNAcentral.
GACGAACGCUGGCGGCGUGCUUAACACAUGCAAGUCGAACGGAAAGGCUCCAGCUUGCUGGAGUCCUCGAGUGGCGAACGGGUGAGUAACACGUGGGUAAUCUGCCCUGCACUCUGGGAUAAGCCUGGGAAACUGGGUCUAAUACUGGAUAUGACCUUUCUCCUUAUGGGGUUUGGUGGAAAGUUUUUCGGUGUAGGAUGAGCCCGCGGCCUAUCAGCUUGUUGGUGGGGUGAUGGCCUACCAAGGCGACGACGGGUAGCCGGCCUGAGAGGGUGAUCGGCCACAUUGGGACUGGGAUACGGCCCAGACUCCUACGGGAGGCAGCAGUGGGGAAUAUUGCACAAUGGGCGGAAGCCUGAUGCAGCGACGCCGCGUGAGGGAUGACGGCCUUCGGGUUGUAAACCUCUUUCAGCAGGGACGAAGCGUAAGUGACGGUACCUGCAGAAGAAGCACCGGCUAACUAUGUG